UUCAAGAUAGCUCAGGGGCAGAGCAUGCGCUUUGCAUGCAGAAGAUCCCAGGUUCGAUCCCUGGCAUCUCUCGUGGAAA
Molecule: transfer RNA, 79 nt
Filed under: Sphaerodactylus townsendi
Lineage: Eukaryota; Metazoa; Chordata; Lepidosauria; Squamata; Sphaerodactylidae
Description: tRNA-Ala
Source: RNAcentral